Molecule: ribosomal RNA, 463 nt
Filed under: uncultured bacterium
Lineage: Bacteria
Description: partial 16S ribosomal RNA
Rfam family: Bacterial small subunit ribosomal RNA
Source: RNAcentral
GAUGAACGCUGACAGAAUGCUUAACACAUGCAAGUCUUUGGCGAAGCUGUGCUUGCACAGCCUAGCCAAGGCGGACGGGUGAGUAACGCGUAAGGAACCUGCCCUGCAGUCAGGGAUAACAGACGGAAACGACUGAUAAGACCUGGUAAAGUCAGGCGGACUCAUGUCCAGCCUGAUGAAAAGAGAUGCUGCAGGAGAGCCUUGCGUCCUAUUAGCUUGUUGGUGGGGUAACGGCCCACCAAGGCGAUGAUAGGUAGCCGGCCUGAGAGGGUGGACGGCCACAAGGGGACUGAGAUACGGCCCUUACUCCUACGGGAGGCAGCAGUGGGGAAUAUUGGACAAUGGGGGCAACCCUGAUCCAGCAAUUCUGUGUGCACGAUGAAGGUUUUCGGAUUGUAAAGUGCUUUCAGCAGGGAAGAAAAAAAUGACGGUACCUGCAGAAGAAGCGACGGCUAAAUACGUG